GUUGGCUUAGAAGCAGCCAUCAUUUAAAGAAAGCGUAAUAGCUCACUGGUCGAGUCGGCCUGCGCGGAAGAUGUAACGGGGCUAAACCAUGCACCGAAGCUGCGGCAGCGAACGUAUCACUUAAAGCGAUUCAGCGGGUUACGAUUGACGGAGCGAAGCGACGUCAAAGCGUAUACAAAGUCGAGUCGGUUUAAGGAUACGUUCGUUGGGUAGGGGAGCGUUCUGUAAGCCUG
Molecule: ribosomal RNA, 233 nt
Filed under: Salmonella enterica
Lineage: Bacteria; Pseudomonadati; Pseudomonadota; Gammaproteobacteria; Enterobacterales; Enterobacteriaceae
Also listed under: 2 other names
Description: partial 23S ribosomal RNA
Rfam family: Bacterial large subunit ribosomal RNA
Source: RNAcentral